This 75-nucleotide transfer RNA is filed under the name Shimia aestuarii. RNAcentral's name for it is "tRNA_Pseudo_GTT". The record is from RNAcentral. Lineage: Bacteria; Pseudomonadati; Pseudomonadota; Alphaproteobacteria; Rhodobacterales; Roseobacteraceae.
UCCAUUGAUAGCAAAGGGGUAAAAUUGAGACUGUUAAUCAAUUGGUCGUAGGUUCGAUCCCUACCGCCGGAGCCA